This 265-nucleotide ribosomal RNA is filed under the name uncultured bacterium. RNAcentral describes it as "partial 16S ribosomal RNA". It matches the Rfam family "Bacterial small subunit ribosomal RNA", at positions 793 to 1055 of the family's 1533-position model. The record is from RNAcentral.
GUCCUAGCCGUAAACGAUGGACACUGAGUGGAGGAGGGCUUGCCUUUCUCUGCUGCAGCUAACGCGUUAAGUGUCCCGCCUGGGGAGUACGGCCGCAAGGUUAAAACUCAAAGGAAUUGACGGGGCUCGCACAAGCGGUGGAGCAUGUGGUUCAAUUCGAUGCAACGCGAAGAACCUUACCCGGGCUUGAAGUGGAGGUGGUAGGAACCGGAAACGGUAACGACCCCGCAAGGGGAGCCUUCAUCAGGUGUUGCAUGGCUGUCGU